UACGUAGGUGGCAAGCGUUGUCCGGAUUUACUGGGUGUAAAGGGCGUGUAGCCGGGCUGACAAGUUAGAUGUGAAAUCCGGGGGCUCAACCCCCGAACUGCAUUUGAAACUGUUGGUCUUGAGUAUCGGAGAGGCAGGCGGAAUUCCUAGUGUAGCGGUGAAAUGCGUAGAUAUUAGGAGGAACACCAGUGGCGAAGGCGGCCUGCUGGACGACAACUGACGGUGAGGCGCGAAAGCGUGGGGAGCAAACAGG
This 253-nucleotide ribosomal RNA is filed under the name uncultured bacterium. Its description in RNAcentral is "partial 16S ribosomal RNA". It matches the Rfam family "Bacterial small subunit ribosomal RNA", at positions 524 to 776 of the family's 1533-position model. The record is from RNAcentral.